CUGGAUUUCUUCUAGGGAGAGGAGAGGAGGAAGGCAGGUCCAGGCAGAGGGUACAGCCUGUGGCCGGAAAAGUCUCAGCUUUUUUUCCAAGGGGCAGCCAACUUUUGGGGGAAGAUGUACAGAAGGAGAAACAGCAGCCCAACGCCAGUGGUGCCAGAAUGAUAAGAACUGAGGCUUCUCAAGCUCUUACCGCCUCCCAGCCCCACAGUGAACACUUCCUGCCAUCCUGUCACUGAAUGCCCAUCCUGACCCCAAAGGGAGAUGGGCACAGGGCUGACCUGGCCACCUGAAGGAGAAAUGGGAAAUCAGCCGGAAUCAUCCAGAAGAUGCCCACACCCUCUACAUAGCAUUUCUGGGGAGUCGGGACAGCCCAGAAUUAAACCAUGGCUCCAGAAAUGUGACCUUCAUCCGGCUAACCCUGCG
RNAcentral lists this long non-coding RNA (423 nucleotides) under Equus asinus (donkey). RNAcentral describes it as "lncRNA (ENSEASG00005026875.1)". Lineage: Eukaryota; Metazoa; Chordata; Mammalia; Perissodactyla; Equidae. The record is from RNAcentral.